Molecule: transfer RNA, 87 nt
Filed under: Candidatus Velthaea sp.
Lineage: Bacteria; Bacillati; Vulcanimicrobiota; Vulcanimicrobiia; Vulcanimicrobiales; Vulcanimicrobiaceae
Description: tRNA-Ser
Rfam family: tRNA
About the family: Transfer RNA (tRNA) molecules are approximately 80 nucleotides in length. Their secondary structure includes four short double-helical elements and three loops (D, anti-codon, and T loops).
Source: RNAcentral
GGAGAGAUGGCAGAGCGGUUUAAUGCAGCGGUCUUGAAAACCGCAGAACCGGAGACGGUUCCGUGGGUUCGAAUCCCACUCUCUCCU